RNAcentral lists this ribosomal RNA (420 nucleotides) under uncultured bacterium. RNAcentral describes it as "bacterial SSU rRNA". It matches the Rfam family "Bacterial small subunit ribosomal RNA", at positions 359 to 776 of the family's 1533-position model. The record is from RNAcentral.
GAAUCUUGCGCAAUGGGCGAAAGCCUGACGCAGCCACGCCGCGUGAGCGAUGAAGGCCUUCGGGUCGUAAAGCUCUGUGGAGGGAGAAGAACAAGCCAGUGAAGAGCUGGCCCUGACGGUAUCCCUUUAGCAAGCACCGGCUAACUCCGUGCCCGCAGCCGCGGUAAUACGGAGGGUGCAAACGUUGCUCGGAAUCAUUGGGCGUAAAGCGCACGUAGGCGGCCAACCAAGUUGGAUGUGAAAGCCUUGGGCUCAACCCAGGACGUGCACCCAAAACUGGUUGGCUUGAGUCCCGGAGGGGGCCAGAGAAUUCCCGGUGUAGAGGUGAAAUUCGUAGAGAUCGGGAGGAAUACCAGUGGCGAAGGCGCUGAUCUGGCCGGGCACUGACGCUGAGGUGCGAAAGCGUGGGGAGCAAACAGG